RNAcentral lists this unclassified non-coding RNA (2134 nucleotides) under Hevea brasiliensis (rubber tree). Lineage: Eukaryota; Viridiplantae; Streptophyta; Magnoliopsida; Malpighiales; Euphorbiaceae. The record is from RNAcentral.
GUAUUGGAGAAAAUGGUGUUGGUUUUAGCUAUAGGAGACCUUCACAUACCUCACAGGGCUGCGGAUCUCCCUCCGAAGUUCAAGUCCAUGCUUGUUCCUGGCAAGAUUCAGCACAUCAUUUGCACUGGCAAUCUCUGCAUUAAAGUAAUUAUCUCUCUUUCCUAUUGAGUUAAUUAUAUUUGUGUACAAGGUUACACUUUUUUGGAGUUAAUUUCUUCCUCGGAUUUCAAGCUGUUAAUAUGGUUUGUUUUUCCUUUCUUGUUUAAAGUUGAUCAUUUUUUCAUUGUAAUUUAAUUAUGUUAGUGAUGAUCAAACUGCUACUAUAACUUUUGCUUCAUCUUCUCGAUUUACCUUUGAAGAACCAAAAUUUGUUUCUUAGUUGAAUUAGGGGACUUUUUACCCCCAAUAUAUUUGUUUGUAUCAACAAUGAAAGUUAGUAGAGGCUAUUGUUUUGAGCAAGUUUGUGGGCUGUUUUCUUCAAUAUGUCUGGCAUAAUUUUAUGAGACGUUCUCUAACUUUAGUUGUUUCUCUAAUCAAGCUCUCCAACUUUAAUUUUAUCAAUUAGAUGCAUGAACUUUUUUCAGAACAUCGGUUUACGUCCUUAAUUCUUGGAAUGUUAAGCACCAGAAGAGUGAUGACACAUCUUCUUUCUCAAGUCCCAACAAAGCCACUGAAAUAGUGUUUGCAGAGGGGUGGCAUCUUUCAACCAUCUUUUUUUACAAAUAGACUAACAGAGAGUUCUUUUGAUAGGGUUAUACUGUAGGAAUAAUCCCGUAUAAUAGAAUUGGAAGCCAAAUUUCCUGGAUUUGAGAUUUGAAUGAGCUCUUGUGCACAUAAAUGCUGUUGCCUAUGAGAGGGAGGAUGAAGAAGUAGAGCAUUUUGGAGGGUGAGGAAUAUAUGGUGGAGAUGGGAAGGAUGCACACUUAUGUGCAUGGAUUUGGUUGAUAGCACAUGCUGGAGCAUUUUUAUCAGAGAAGUGCUUUGCUUUUCUUCAUCUUCUUCUAGUUUUUCUUUCCAAUUAUCAACUACUAUUGAUUGAGAAGUAAAGAGGGGAAUCUUCUCAUCUAAUGAAAAUAGGGGCCAAAAACACACACACGCACACACUCAUUGAAAAGCAAUCCUCUCAUAGCUGACAUGGCCAAUUUAAUCCACAUUUAUAUUUGUGCUCCAAUUUGCCAAGAUGUUGGCCCAUAAAAGAUCUAUUUAUGGUAUUUGUAAAAGUUUGAGCACUCAGAUUGCUAAAUUAAAAUAAAGAAACAUAUCAAGACCUUCAACAAAAUUUUGUAGAUUGAGAAUACCGCAACAACACAGCAAGAUAGAAAGAAGGAUUAUUUUAAAUAGGAUGAUGAAUCAGUGCUCAUGUUCUUACCGUGUGUGCACACAGAAUCCUCGGGGUUAUUGAUAAAAUGAUAGAUGUCGAAACUCUGAGUAAAUUUUUUGAAUCACUGCCUUCCUUUUUAAUAUUAGCGUGUGCUGUGUUCCUUCAAUGAACAGGAAGUGCAUGAUUAUUUGAAGAGUCUUUGUCCUGAUCUGCAUAUUACUCGUGGUGAAUAUGAUGAAGAUUCACGUUAUCCAGAGACUAAAACCCUCACCAUUGGCCAAUUUAAGCUUGGAAUAUGCCAUGGUCACCAGGUCAUUCCAUGGGGUGACUUGGAUUCACUGGCAAUGUUACAGAGGCAGCUGGAUGUUGAUAUCCUAGUAACUGGUCACACCCAUCAGUUCAAAGCCUACAAGCAUGAGGGUGGUGUGGUUAUAAAUCCCGGCUCAGCCACUGGUGCCUACAGUAGUUUCACUUACGAUGUAAACCCAAGCUUUGUGCUGAUGGACAUUGACGGGUUGCGUGUUGUGGUUUAUGUUUACGAACUAAUAGAUGGGGAAGUAAAGGUUGACAAAAUUGAUUUCAAGAAGACAGCCACUACUCGUUCAUCAAGUUGACCCAUGUUCUAAUUAAUUAGUGAUUACUUUGACUUGUGGUAGUUCCUUAAAAUUUGUUUUGUCGUGGGGCCUUUUACUAGAGGUAGAAGCCUUGUUAUCGAGUUGCUAAAUCUAAGCAGAAUACAUAUUGAGAUGAAUAAAUGUGUUUUUUAUGAAACGUCUCUAGCGCCUCAAAAAUUCUAAUUUCAGGGGAGAAUUC